AUUGAACGCUGGCGGCAGGCCUAACACAUGCAAGUCGAACGAGUGGCGGACGGGUGAGUAAUGUGUGGGAAACUGCCUGAUGGAGGGGGAUCACUACUGGAAACGGUAACUAAUAACGCAUACCAUCGGAUGUGCCCAGAUGGGAUGCGCUAGUAGGUGGGGUAAAGGCUCACCUAGGCGAAGAUCCAUAGCUGGUCUGAUGGGAUGACCAGCCACACUGGAACUGAGAAACGGUCCAGACUCCUACGGGAGGCAGCAGUGGGGAAUAUUGCACAAGGGGCGCAAGCCUGAUGCAGCCAUGCCGCGUGUAUGAAGAAGGCCUUCGGGUUGUAAAGUACUUUCAGCGGGGAGGCGUUACCCGCAGAAGAAGCACCGGCUAACUCCGUGCCAGCAGCCGCGGUAAUAC
Molecule: ribosomal RNA, 406 nt
Filed under: uncultured bacterium
Lineage: Bacteria
Description: partial 16S ribosomal RNA
Rfam family: Bacterial small subunit ribosomal RNA
Source: RNAcentral